RNAcentral lists this ribosomal RNA (488 nucleotides) under uncultured bacterium. RNAcentral's name for it is "bacterial SSU rRNA". It matches the Rfam family "Bacterial small subunit ribosomal RNA", at positions 30 to 507 of the family's 1533-position model. The record is from RNAcentral.
AUUGAACGCUGGCGGCAGGCUUAACACAUGCAAGUCGAGCGGAGAUGAGGUGCUUGCACCUUAUCUUAGCGGCGGACGGGUGAGUAAUGCUUAGGAAUCUGCCUAUUAGUGGGGGGACAACAUUCCGAAAGGGAUGCUAAUACCGCAUACGUCCUACGGGGAGAAAAGCAGGGGAUCUUCGGACCUUGCGCUAAUAGAUGAGCCUAAGUCGGAUUAGCUAGUUGGUGGGGUAAAGGCCUACCAAGGCGACGAUCUGUAGCGGGUCUGAGAGGAUGAUCCGCCACACUGGGACUGAGACACGGCCCAGACUCCUACGGGAGGCAGCAGUGGGGAAUAUUGGACAAUGGGGGGAACCCUGAUCCAGCCAUGCCGCGUGUGUGAAGAAGGCCUUAUGGUUGUAAAGCACUUUAAGCGAGGAGGAGGCUACUGAGACUAAUACUCUUGGAUAGUGGACGUUACUCGCAGAAUAAGCACCGGCUAACUCUGUG